CUGGCCGUAAACGAUGAAUGCUAGGUGUGGGUGUAGCGAUACAUCUGUGCCGUAGUUAACGCGUUAAGCAUUCCGCCUGGGGAGUACGAUCGCAAGAUUGAAACUCAAAGGAAUUGACGGGGGCCCGCACAAGCGGUGGAGCACGUGGUUUAAUUCGAUGCAAACCGAAGAACCUUACCUGGGUUUGACAUGUACGUAUUACUGAGAUGAAAGUCGAGGGACCUCGUCUUCGGAUGGGGAGCGUACACAGGUGC
This 254-nucleotide ribosomal RNA is filed under the name uncultured Thermovirga sp. RNAcentral's name for it is "partial 16S ribosomal RNA". It matches the Rfam family "Bacterial small subunit ribosomal RNA", at positions 796 to 1041 of the family's 1533-position model. Lineage: Bacteria; Thermotogati; Synergistota; Synergistia; Synergistales; Thermovirgaceae. The record is from RNAcentral.